Molecule: ribosomal RNA, 254 nt
Filed under: uncultured bacterium
Lineage: Bacteria
Description: partial 16S ribosomal RNA
Rfam family: Bacterial small subunit ribosomal RNA
Source: RNAcentral
UACGAAGGGGCUAGCGUUGCUCGGAAUUACUGGGCGUAAAGCGCACGUAGGCGGAUUGCUAAGUCAGGGGUGAAAUCCUGGAGCUCAACUCCAGAACUGCCUUUGAUACUGAUGGUCUCGAGUCCGGGAGAGGUGAGUGGAACUGCGAGUGUAGAGGUGAAAAUUCGUAGAUAUUCGCAAGAACACCAGUGGCGAAGGCGGCUCACUGGCCCGGUACUGACGCUGAGGUGCGAAAGCGUGGGGAGCAAACAGGG